Non-coding RNA from Paramuricea clavata, 222 nucleotides. The record is from the annotation of a GenBank genome assembly. Lineage: Eukaryota; Metazoa; Cnidaria; Anthozoa; Malacalcyonacea; Plexauridae.
GCAAAGUUAGUAAGGAAGAAUAAUAAUAAUGUCCGUGAUUUCUGGCCUUGAUUUUGUGCUUAAUCCACGGGUGCUCGUAUAAAUUGACCAAAAUGAUAUUCAACUAGAUAUAUUAUGAAUUAUGACACUUUAGUUUAGGUAUAAUCUAGAUUAGUACGUGAUACUGUGAUAGUGAGAGAGAACAGAUGUGCAUAGCGACUCUCACUAGCCGAAAUUUGCGAC